CGGAUAGAGCCAGCGAAGUCGCUCGUAUUCAGCCAAAAGUCUGGGGUUGCCUGUCGUCGUGUUUCUAAUCGAGCACGGCGGUUUGUCUUCUCCGGAUUGAGGUGCAUUUGCGGGCGUUUGCGCUGAGACUUGCGAGGCAGCUGCGGGACCGGCGUUUAGAGGCUUCCCAUUGGGUUGAACCUGGGCGCCGUUACAGCUGUUUGCCUUGCUCGUACUGGUCUGGCCUACGGACCCUGCUCGUGCUGUUGUCAACUGGCCAAGGCAUCGCAUGCGAUGUCUAGCCUGGGGGCUGCAGCGCGGGUUGGUGUCCCCGGAUCGCCUCUCGGUGUAGAAGCUGGUCAUCUCUCCGACCCGUCUUGAAACACGGACCAAGGAGUUUAGCGUAUGCGCGAGUCAUUGGGUGUUAAAACCCACAGGCGCAAUGAAAGUGAAGGCUCGGUCGCCGGGCUGACAUGCGAGUGCCGCGGCUUCGGCCCAGGCAUGCAGCAUGGUCCCAUUGCAAUCGUUUACGAUACAGUGGAGACAGAGCGUAUGCGCUGAG
RNAcentral lists this ribosomal RNA (541 nucleotides) under Mesocriconema xenoplax. RNAcentral's name for it is "partial large subunit ribosomal RNA". It matches the Rfam family "Eukaryotic large subunit ribosomal RNA", at positions 420 to 813 of the family's 3401-position model. Lineage: Eukaryota; Metazoa; Nematoda; Chromadorea; Rhabditida; Criconematidae. The record is from RNAcentral.